UGGGAUGUAGCUUAGUGGUAAAGUGCUUGCCUCACAUGUAUGAAGCCUUGGGUUCAAUUCCCAGCUCCAA
This 70-nucleotide transfer RNA is filed under the name Urocitellus parryii (Arctic ground squirrel). RNAcentral's name for it is "Spermophilus parryii (Arctic ground squirrel) tRNA". It matches the Rfam family "tRNA". From Rfam's summary of the family: Transfer RNA (tRNA) molecules are approximately 80 nucleotides in length. Their secondary structure includes four short double-helical elements and three loops (D, anti-codon, and T loops). Lineage: Eukaryota; Metazoa; Chordata; Mammalia; Rodentia; Sciuridae. The record is from Rfam by way of RNAcentral. RNAcentral also lists the same sequence under 1 other name.